UUGCUUUGGCAGCACAUAUACUAAACCUGAAAUAAUACAGAACAGUUUAGCAUGGCCCCUGCAAAAGAAUGACAUACAAAUUCAUCUUUAAAGGCCAUCUAGU
Molecule: small nuclear RNA, 103 nt
Organism: Monodelphis domestica (gray short-tailed opossum)
Lineage: Eukaryota; Metazoa; Chordata; Mammalia; Didelphimorphia; Didelphidae
Source: Ensembl